This 201-nucleotide ribosomal RNA is filed under the name uncultured bacterium. RNAcentral describes it as "partial 16S ribosomal RNA". It matches the Rfam family "Bacterial small subunit ribosomal RNA", at positions 29 to 215 of the family's 1533-position model. The record is from RNAcentral.
AGCGAACGCUGGCGGCGUGCUUAACACAUGCAAGUCGAGCCGAAGGGUGUUUCAAGGGUAACCUUGAGAUACACUUAGCGGCGGACGGGUGAGUAAUACGUGGAUAACUUACCUCUAGGCCUGGGAUAACCCCGGGAAACUGGGGCUAAUACCUGAUAAGACCACAUUGUCUACGGACAAAGGGGUAAAAGGUGGCUGUGC